This 789-nucleotide ribosomal RNA is filed under the name uncultured Methanolinea sp. RNAcentral's name for it is "bacterial SSU rRNA". It matches the Rfam family "Archaeal small subunit ribosomal RNA", at positions 85 to 879 of the family's 1478-position model. The record is from RNAcentral. Lineage: Archaea; Methanobacteriati; Methanobacteriota; Methanomicrobia; Methanomicrobiales; Methanoregulaceae.
ACUGCUCAGUAACACGUGGAUAACCUACCCUCAGGAGGGGGAUAACCCCGGGAAACUGGGGAUAAUACCCCAUAGAUCAGGGACGCUGGAAUGCCCCGUGAUUCAAAGGUCCGCCGCCUGAGGAUGGGUCUGCGGCCGAUUAGGUUGUUGUUGGGGUAACGGCCCAACAAGCCAUUGAUCGGUACGGGUUGUGAGAGCAAGAGCCCGGAGAUGGAUUCUGAGACACGAAUCCAGGCCCUACGGGGCGCAGCAGGCGCGAAAACUUUACAAUGCGAGAAAUCGUGAUAAGGGAACCCCGAGUGCCCGUAAAUUCGGGCUGUCCGCCAGUGUAAAUAACUGGUGAAGAAAGGGCCGGGCAAGACCGGUGCCAGCCGCCGCGGUAAUACCGGCGGCUCGAGUGGUGGCCACUAUUACUGGGCUUAAAGCGUCCGUAGCUGGAUUGUUAAGUCUCUUGGGAAAUCCACCGGCUCAACCGAUGGGCGUUCAGGAGAAACUGGCAAUCUAGGGACCGGGAGAGGUGAGAGGUACUCCAGGGGUAGGAGUGAAAUCCUGUAAUCCUUGGGGGACCACCUGUGGCGAAGGCGUCUCACUAGAACGGCUCCGACAGUGAGGGACGAAAGCUGGGGGAGCAAACCGGAUUAGAUACCCGGGUAGUCCCAGCUGUAAACGAUGCGCGUUAGGUGUAUCGGUGACCACGAGUCAUCGAGGUGCCGAAGGGAAACCGUGAAACGUGCCGCCUGGGAAGUACGGUCGCAAGGCUGAAACUUAAAGGAAUUGGCGGGGGAGCAC